RNAcentral lists this ribosomal RNA (440 nucleotides) under uncultured bacterium. RNAcentral describes it as "partial 16S ribosomal RNA". It matches the Rfam family "Bacterial small subunit ribosomal RNA", at positions 338 to 795 of the family's 1533-position model. The record is from RNAcentral.
CCUACGGGUGGCAGCAGUGGGGAAUAUUGCACAAUGGGGGAAACCCUGAUGCAGCGACGCCGCGUGAGUGAAGAAGUAAUUCGUUACGUAAAGCUCUAUCAGCAGGGAAGAAAAUGACGGUACCUGAGCAAGAAGCUCUGGCUAACUACGUGCCAGCAGCCGUGGCAACACGUAGGGGGCAAGCGUUAUCCGGAUUUACUGGGUGUAAAGGGAGCGUAGACGGUGUGCCAAGUCAGGAGUGAAAUGCUGCAGCUUAACUGCGGAAGUGCUUUGGAAACUGGCGAACUAGAGUGCGGGAGGGGUAAGCGGAAUUCCUGGUGUAGCGGUGAAAUGCGUAGAUAUUAGGAAGAACACCGAUGGCGAAGGCAGCUUACUAAACCGUAACUGACAUUGAGGCUCGAAAGCGUGGGGAGCAAACAGGAUUAGAUACCCUAGUAGUC